GGGGGUGCAAUGGUUUCGACGGGGGUUUAGACCCGUGGUAAGCGAGUAGCGGUGCGGGACCGCUCUAAAAUCCGCAACUUUAAAAAUAGACGACAAAGAUAAAGUCUUUUUGGCUGCCGCUUAAGGCUGCCCGUUCUUGCUAAGAGUACCACGGCUUAACAAGAGCGUCGAUCAGUGGUAAAUGUGAACUGAGGACCGCCUCGCCCUCAGUCACACAUCAGAGGCUACCAAACACCUAAGCCUGUUUGCGGGCGUAUGUGCAAGGGAAUACCAAUACACAAACUACACUCGUAGAAAGCCCCGGCAAAAAACCUCCGGACAGGAGUUCAAUUCUCCUCACCUCCACCA
This 348-nucleotide transfer-messenger RNA is filed under the name Acutalibacteraceae. Its description in RNAcentral is "Ruminococcus_E sp902772755 Standard tmRNA". It matches the Rfam family "transfer-messenger RNA". From Rfam's summary of the family: Bacterial tmRNA, also known as 10Sa RNA or SsrA, is named for its dual tRNA and mRNA-like properties. RNAcentral also lists the same sequence under 1 other name. Lineage: Bacteria; Bacillati; Bacillota; Clostridia; Eubacteriales. The record is from RNAcentral.